UUCAUUUCGAUACAGAUUUAUUGUAUUUAUCAUCUUCAUAGUGUUAAUUUUUCUCUCUCCUCUGCCUCCUUCUUUGCCUUCCUUCCUUCACACCCAACAAUCUGAACCAUCAAUCCCUCUACCUCAUUAAUUUUGAAGGACAUUCCCCAUCCGUGUCAUCAAUAGUCCCUCUGCCUCCUGGGUCACUCUCCCACUGUGCAAGUGCCCCAGUCAGCUAAGCUCUGUCUGAUCCACGGUGUUGCUCCCAAUCUUGUUGGCAAAGCUCUGACCUCUUCACUCGGUGACACUACGAUCAGAGAUAUUGACCGAUAGUUGACUGGCCCGUGCAGGGUCUCCUUCGCAGGUAGUAGGGUGAGCCCCCUCAGGAGGAUGUGAUUUUUACGUGUUGACAUAACCUUGAUGUUAUGUGAACGCCUGAGGAACCUUGAGGUGUCACCAAUGCGCAUCUUGACGUCUGUUGUGAAUCAUCCUUUGUCACCAUGAAAGCGCUUGUAAUCUGCUCUCUUUAGAAGAAUUUAAUUGAAGCCUGUUAGUGAAAAAUGUGUGUCCUUCUGAACCUUUCUUUUCAUUGUGUAUAAAGUGUAUAUCUGAGGUGAUUUCCAGCGGCUCUUUAUUUUUGAUAAAUUGCGCAGUGUACUCUACAGUAAAUUUGUCACUUGCUAUUUAAACAAAACUGUUGUAGUCUCACACAAACAAGUCCUCGUGGAGAAGAUUAGGAGAGUGUUGCAGAAUGUGAAAGACGCACCAUGAAGAGGUCUUUACUGUUAAGUCCUUUAGCUGAUUGGGAUAAUGAAGAAAUGCAAAAGCUCAUUAAGCAGAUGGAAUGAAAUGCUUAGCUUUAAUGCUAACACACGAUCUGACCCUGGCUAGAUUAGGGAAUGAGUUGUCAGAUUAGGAGUCAACUUGCCGCCUUUCUCAGUCAGGAUAUUGUGUUUUACGUUUGCAAGCAUUUUGAAAUUACAGCAACAAAGACGUAACUUUUUUUUUUGUGAAGGCACUUCUAAAGAAAGAAAAUGGAUUCCUCUCAGAAGUUAAAAGUUAGUUGCAAAAGUUCAAAAUCCUUUAUGAUGGUGGCUGCUUAAUUAAUUAUUUAUUUUGCAAACUUAAUAAGUUUCCCUUAUUGUAGUAAAGAUCCCUAUUUUCUUUGAAUUUCAUCUUCCUUUCUUCACCUACCUCACUUCCUUUCCUUUCCUUAUCACUAAUUGGCUCUUGUUUUCUCACCCUCCACCCCUCAUUUACCUGAUAGAGAUAACCUGGGCACUACAAGAUUAUUUAAGGGCUUCACUCCACUCAUUCACUCUUUUUUCACCUUGGGGUGGCGGUUUCUGAACCUGUAGCCCAUGUGUGUCUUCCUUUUCCAUGUUGAAAUAAUUAACUGAGAAAUAAACCUUUUGUUGGAUUGGAUAUAUGUUUAAUGGCCUUCGUUUAUUCAUCCUGCGUCCUGACCUGACGCUCAUGGUGAUAGUAAAUCUUUUAGUGUACAACUUUUGACUCUAUCCCACAGUUACACCGGCCGCCCAGCCCAGACCAAACAGCAGACAGACAAAGUUAGCCUCCAGUGUAGUGGAGCAAAGUGGAGCAGUCAGCAGAGAAAAAGACAGAUAGUUCCUCCAGAAGUUAUUUGAAACACACCUCCACACUAAUAGUUUCUUGCGCAUCCAGCAGAUGCAGAGCAACAAUAGGCUCUGCAUCUGCUGGAUGUGCAAUAAACUAUGUGCUGACAGGUUCACCAGAUCACAACUUAAAAAGAGAUAAAAUGUUAAUGCAGUGUUUCCAGCAUGUUACUGCAGCAGCA
This is a long non-coding RNA of Seriola aureovittata, 1795 nucleotides long. RefSeq lists it as uncharacterized. The record is from RefSeq and is a predicted model, not a curated record. The transcript has 2 exons. NCBI's taxonomy places the organism in Eukaryota, Metazoa, Chordata, Actinopteri, Carangiformes, Carangidae.